UUCAUUGAUGAGCAUGCA
Molecule: non-coding RNA, 18 nt
Filed under: Arabidopsis thaliana (thale cress)
Lineage: Eukaryota; Viridiplantae; Streptophyta; Magnoliopsida; Brassicales; Brassicaceae
Source: RNAcentral